CUUCUUCAAUUUGUUGUGGGCAAAUAAAGUGAAUAUGCGUAUCAAUGCCGCCGGCGGUGACGAUCAUGCCCUCACCUGCAAUAAUCUCAGUGCCUGCGCCAAUCGCUAUGGUCACUUCUGGCUGGAUAUCCGGAUUGCCUGCUUUACCAAUCGCAGAAAUACGCCCAGCUUUAAUACCAAUAUCGGCCUUCACCACGCCCCAAUAGUCGAUGAUUAACGCAUUGGUAAUCACCGUAUCAGCCACAUCAGCAGACACCAACUGCCCUUGCCCCAUGCCGUCACG
Molecule: small RNA, 283 nt
Filed under: Methylophilaceae bacterium 11
Lineage: Bacteria; Pseudomonadati; Pseudomonadota; Betaproteobacteria; Nitrosomonadales; Methylophilaceae
Description: 5' ureB small RNA
Rfam family: 5' ureB small RNA
Source: Rfam by way of RNAcentral